CCAUGUAUGACUUCCUGCUGGUCUGAUAGGCCCACGACAAAUGAGAAGAUCCAAGCCGGCCUAUCCUGCAAAGGCCCAUGGACUGAUCCGCGGGACGGAUCAAGUGGCGUCCAACCAUGGGGCAGACCUGGCACGAGGGAUAAUGACACAGGACCGUUCACGGGGGUAAAGCGCCGGCGUGACUGUUUCGGGACUUCAUUCCUGUGAUCUGUGCAGACGGCCACCGCCACCUUACGUCUCGCCUGAAUCACGGUUCUUCCUCGCAUAACCUUCCACCCAGGAGACUACUACCUCCAGGCAUCGCAGACCGGCUAUAUAUUUAAGAGAGAACCCGCGACACUCACCUUAGCUGUAUUACUGGGAUUAGGAGUCACAACGGAAUAGGAACAGGGACUACGGCUCUAGUGUUGGGAAAUCAGCAUGUAGCUCAAUUACAGGCAGCAGUAGAUCAGAAUUUAAAAGAAAUAGAAACAUCUGUGACGGCUCUACAGGCGUCCCUGACGUCUCUAUCUGAGGUAGUCCUACAGAACAGAAGAGGGCUAGACCUCCUAUUUAUGAAGGAGGGUGGCUUAUGUGCUGCCCUCAAGGAAGAGUGUUGUUUUUAUGCUGACCACUUGGGAGUCAUCAAAGAGUCCAUGAGUAAACUAAGAGAGCACCUCAAAGAGAAAAAAAGAGCGCCUCGGAGAAACCACCUUCUCCUCCAUGUGGGGGGGUCUCUUCCCUUACAUUGCCCCCCUCUUAGGACCCCUAGCUGCCUUGCUGUUACUGCUUACUGUAGGACCUUGUAUUUUUCAGAGGAUCACGUUGCUCAUUAAUAACGUUAAUAACAGGAUUGACACAUUUAUGGCAAAGCCCCUUCAGGUACAUUACCACCGGUUGGAAAUGGCAGAACAACAAACUUAUCGGGAAAGAACCCCCACUGACAACCCACAUGAUACUGUGGCCCAAAUGCCCUGAGGCACUGGACAGGCAGCAAGAGACGGGCAACUAGGACACAUAUGUAGUGCCAAUCGGCCACCUAAGACAGGUCCAGGACCAACAGCUGUCUGCAGGCUCAUGAUGGGUAAGGCUCAAUUGGGUUCAUAUGAGGAGUCUUUGACCCAAGACAGGCACUGUCCUCCCAGGGCCUGCCAUGUUCCUAAAAAAUAUAUAAAAUAAUAAGGGAGGAGAUGUAGGGAGCAGCUCAGAAUGGCAGCUGCUGCCCUACCCCUCCCACCUGAGGGCAUUUUGUGUGUCAGCCUACAUUUCCCAUGAUCCUCCCCUCACCUACAGUGCGCAUGACGAAAGCAACUUCCUGCUUCAGCCUACAUCUCCCACAAUCCCCUGCUGUUGACAUCACUUCCACUUACCCACGUAUGACUUCCUGCUGGUCUGAUAGGCCCACGACAAAUGAGAAAAUCCAAGCCGGCCUACCCUGUAAGGCUACGUCCCCUUUGACUCUAUAUAAGCCAUGUACACUUCCUGAAUAAAUGAGACUCGAUUGGAGUCUCAUCCUGUCUCCAUCUCUCUUUUCUCUUGCCCUGCCCUUUAUUGCCGUCCUCUCUCCAGGUGAAGGCCCACGGACUGAUCUGCAGGACGGAUUAGUUUACCAUAAGUUCAAGUAUUAGGGUGGAUUCCAUCCAAGAUAAAAGAUAGAGUGUUUCCUUGCAAUGAGAUCCAUCUAAUAAUCAAGUGACAUGUUUCCUGUC
Long non-coding RNA from Cavia porcellus (domestic guinea pig), 1688 nucleotides. RefSeq lists it as uncharacterized. Lineage: Eukaryota; Metazoa; Chordata; Mammalia; Rodentia; Caviidae. The transcript has 3 exons. The record is from RefSeq and is a predicted model, not a curated record.